UCCCGGACAAGGAAACAUCCAGCAUUGCCUG
Molecule: non-coding RNA, 31 nt
Filed under: Mus musculus (house mouse)
Lineage: Eukaryota; Metazoa; Chordata; Mammalia; Rodentia; Muridae
Source: RNAcentral